UUCUAACGUGGCAGAGCUAUGCAUAGGAUUUAGGAUCCUAACACGAAAUCAAUAUUUCCGUAGAAA
Molecule: transfer RNA, 66 nt
Filed under: Euphausia superba (Antarctic krill)
Lineage: Eukaryota; Metazoa; Arthropoda; Malacostraca; Euphausiacea; Euphausiidae
Description: tRNA-Leu
Source: RNAcentral